UACGGGGGGUGCGAGCGUUGUUCGGAUUCACUGGGUAUAAAGGGUGCGCAGGCGGCCUGUUAAGUCAGAGGUGAAAUUUGUCGGCUCAACCGACAGACUGCCCCUGAAACUGACAGGCUUGAGUCCGGGAGAGGAAGGUGGAAUUCCAGGUGUAGCGGUGAAAUGCGUAAAUAUCUGGAGGAACACCGGUGGCGAAGGCGGCCUUCUGGCCCGGAACUGACGCUCAGGCACGAAAGCUAGGGGAGCGAACGGGAUUAGAUACCCCGGUAGUCCUAGCCGUAAACGAUGGGUACUAGGUGUUGGAGGAUUCUACCCCUUCAGUGCCGCAGCUAAUGCAUUAAGUACCCCACCUGGGGAGUACGAUCGCAAGGUUGAA
This 376-nucleotide ribosomal RNA is filed under the name uncultured bacterium. RNAcentral describes it as "bacterial SSU rRNA". It matches the Rfam family "Bacterial small subunit ribosomal RNA", at positions 524 to 898 of the family's 1533-position model. The record is from RNAcentral.